UAAAAAUACUCUGUGUAAAAACCCAAAUAAUUUAAAAGAAAAUAUCUUAUCAGCAGUUGUAUAUAAAAACUUAAUAACUCAUUGAUGCAAUUAGUUUCAUUGCAACAGUCUAUCAAAUUAACAAUGAAUUGUAAAAUAUCUAUAAUCAUUUUAGUAGUUUUUAGUACUAUUUUCGCAACUACAGCUUAUCCCCGUAAAUGUUGUAGUACAUCCCGUAAAAUUUAUUAUGUCGAAAAUAAUAAAUUUUUAAAUUGGGAUGCAGCCAGCAGUGCUUGUGAAGCUAAGGGCAUGCAUUUGGUAAGCAUAGCAAAUAAGGACGAACUGAAUUACUUAAAGACAUAUAUUAAAACAAUCUAUGGUCGCAUUUAUCCUUAUUGGUUAGGAGCCUAUAAGAUAAAUGGUCAGUUUGAAUGGACUUCAACUGGUAAACAAAUCAAAAAUUUCUUUUGGCAUGAGGGAGAACCCAACAAUAAAAGUGGCAAUGAGAAUUGUAUUCAUACAUGGGAGGAAGAUUUUGAUUGGAAUGAUAAUGAUUGCGAAUUAAAAUUACCGUUUAUAUGUGAAUUGGAGUAUAAUAAUGAAAAGAGAUUUAUUGAAACUUAGAAUACUAAUUAAAAUAUAAAAUAAAUUCGCAGUACCAUAAAAAUGUACACUAUUUUUAGCGAAAUUAAGAAUAUUAAAUACAUAACUAUACAAUAAAGCAGCAUAAAAAUA
Long non-coding RNA from Calliphora vicina (urban bluebottle blowfly), 714 nucleotides. RefSeq lists it as uncharacterized. The transcript is spliced from 2 exons. Lineage: Eukaryota; Metazoa; Arthropoda; Insecta; Diptera; Calliphoridae. The record is from RefSeq and is a predicted model, not a curated record.